UUGUAUAUUUUAGUCCUUUGCUGUAAACUUAUAAAGACUUGUGUUCAGUAAUAGGGCCAGCAUCUACUGAGGAAGUUAUUUUGCCAUAUUUCAUUCAGUUGUGUAAAGAUGAAGUCUGGGGAGUUAGAAAAGACCUUGAUGAUGUGAAGACUGGAGUACUGGCUCAUUUAUUGGAGUUCUUUGAGAUGUUACCCUCUGAUGUUAGAA
Molecule: long non-coding RNA, 207 nt
Organism: Amphimedon queenslandica
Lineage: Eukaryota; Metazoa; Porifera; Demospongiae; Haplosclerida; Niphatidae
Exons: 4
Source: RefSeq, a predicted model, not a curated record